Molecule: ribosomal RNA, 256 nt
Filed under: uncultured bacterium
Lineage: Bacteria
Description: partial 16S ribosomal RNA
Rfam family: Bacterial small subunit ribosomal RNA
Source: RNAcentral
UACGUAGGGAGCAAGCGUUGUCCGGAAUUAUUGGGCGUAAAGAGCUCGUAGGCGGUGUGUCACGUCGGCCGUGAAAACCUGCAGCUUAACUGUGGGCGUGCGGUCGAUACGGGCAUCACUGGAGUUCGGCAGGGGAGACUGGAAUUCCUGGUGUAGCGGUGAAAUGCGCAGAUAUCAGGAGGAACACCAAUGGGCGAAGGCAGCUCGCUGGGACGGUACUGACGCUGGAGACGCGAAAGCGUGGGGAGCGAACAGG